RNAcentral lists this ribosomal RNA (895 nucleotides) under Erysiphe quercicola. RNAcentral's name for it is "eukaryotic LSU rRNA". It matches the Rfam family "Eukaryotic large subunit ribosomal RNA", at positions 78 to 985 of the family's 3401-position model. Lineage: Eukaryota; Fungi; Ascomycota; Leotiomycetes; Helotiales; Erysiphaceae. The record is from RNAcentral.
UUUUAGUAACGGGCGAGUGAAGCGGUAACAGCUCAAAUUUGAAAUCUGGCUCUUGCGGAGUCCGAGUUGUAAUUUGUAGAAGAUGCUUUGGGUUGUGGGUUCGGCCUAAGUUCCUUGGAACAGGACGUCAUAGAGGGUGAGAAUCCCGUAUGUGGCCGAGGCCCGCGCCUAUGUAAAGCUCUUUCAACGAGUCGAGUUGUUUGGGAAUGCAGCUCAAAAUGGGUGGUAAAUUUCAUCUAAAGCUAAAUAUGGGCCAGAGACCGAUAGCGCACAAGUAGAGUGAUCGAAAGAUGAAAAGCACUUUGGAAAGAGAGUUAAACAGUACGUGAAAUUGUUGAAAGGGAAGCGCUUGCAACCAGACUUGGGCGCUGCCGAUCACCUUGAGUUUUCUCGAGUGCACUCGACAGCGCACAGGCCAGCAUCGGUUCGGGUGGCUGGAUACAGGCCGUAGGAAUGUGGCUCUCUUCGGGGAGUGUUAUAGCCUACGGUGCCAUGCAGCCCAGCCGGACCGAGGACCGCGCCUUCGGGCUAGGAUGCUGGCGUAAUGGUUGUAAGCGACCCGUCUUGAAACACGGACCAAGGAGUCUAACAUCUAUGCGAGUGUUUGGGUGGUAAACCCAUACGCGGAAUGAAAGUGAACGUAGGUGAGAACCCCUUUGGGGCGCAUCAUCGACCGAUCCUGAUGUCUUCGGAUGGAUUUGAGUAAGAGCAUAGCUGUUGGGACCCGAAAGAUGGUGAACUAUGCCUGAAUAGGGUGAAGCCAGAGGAAACUCUGGUGGAGGCUCGCAGCGGUUCUGACGUGCAAAUCGAUCGUCAAAUUUGGGCAUAGGGGCGAAAGACUAAUCGAACCAUCUAGUAGCUGGUUCCUGCCGAAGUUUCCUCCAAGGAUAGCAAA